RNA transcript from Elaeis guineensis (African oil palm), 3068 nucleotides. It is a transcript of the gene named protein LAZ1, with no coding region annotated. The record is from RefSeq and is a predicted model, not a curated record. NCBI's taxonomy places the organism in Eukaryota, Viridiplantae, Streptophyta, Magnoliopsida, Arecales, Arecaceae.
UCCCAGUGGUUUCUCCACAUUUCUUGCCUUUUCCGGGACUUGAGAACCCUAUCGUCCGUCCAGUCUCGAUCAUACGGACGAUAGUGGCCAAUUGAGUCUUUCUAAUGACAUCUCAUCACCUGCUGCCCUUUCGCAGUGUAUCGCCCGUCGCCGCACGAUAAGCGCGGCCUUUCGGUUUCUUAACUCCCCCGUCGCUGAUUGGGGGCGGAAGAGAGCCUGCUGCCACCGCGAAUCCUCCAUCUCCUGCUCUGCCUCUUCUUCCCUUCUGGAUUUGAUUUCUAAUCUCUCUGCUUCUUCUAAUUUUCUUCUUCCUUUCGAGUUCGUGAGGUUCUCAGAUCGAGUAGGUGCGCCCCGCCGUAAGCAAUUCUUGUCAUCGUUCCGUAGUUCGACUACCGAUCGGGUCGAUUGGUUUGCGUUUGAUGGGAGGAAGGGUUUUGGAUUUAUAGUUUCUAGGGUUUUUCAGCGUGCGCAGCGUUAAAACUGUAGGCCUCGCUUUCUUUAUUUCUUUAUCUUUUCUCUUUUUUUUUUUUUUUUUUUUUUUUUUUUUGUCACCUUGGAAUCGGAGGUCGACUGUUUUUUGAGCUACGAACGGUUAGAUUUUAGAUUUUUGGAGGUGGGUGGUCGCACGUUUUCUUUACCUUUUUGGGUUCUAAGUUCCAUCAUUCUCUAGAAGAAUUACUUGUUGCCUGGUGCUUUAUGAAUCUUGUGAUUUCCAGGUUAUUCUGAGGAAUUAUCGAGUGGGCUUUCCUCUAAAAUAGUUAUCUUUUUGAUCGCUGGAGCUGAAAAUCGCUUCAAAUAGGGAUAAAAACUGCUGGUUUUUUGGCUUUUGCGAAUUCCUUUGGUCAAAAAUUGUCCCAAUGUUCUAUUGACCAUUUUCUCGGAAGCUUUGAGAGUUUUGGGCAAAAGACAUGUAUCUUAUUCAAUGAAGAUGACAGAGCAAUUCCACUUAAGUCUCUUGUCUUACUCGCCACCCAUAUGGGCCACACUGAUUGCUGGUCUCUUUGUAGUCAUCUCCCUGACGUUGUCCAUGCUUCUACUAUUCAAUCAUCUUUCGGCGUAUAAGAAUCCUGAGGAGCAGAAGUUUCUGAUUGGUGUCAUCCUAAUGGUCCCUUGCUUUGCUGUUGAGUCGUAUGUAUCAUUGGUGAAUCCAUCAAUUAGUGUUGAUUGUGAGAUCCUGCGUGAUUGUUAUGAGGCCUUUGCCAUGUAUUGCUUCGGAAGAUAUCUAGUUGCUUGCCUGGGUGGGGAAGAGAGAACAAUUGAGUUUUUGGAGAGGCAGGGUGGUUCGUGUUCUUCCGCGCCCCUACUUCAAUAUGCUUCUGAAAAGGGAGUUAUAAAGCAUCCUUUUCCAAUGAAUUAUAUUCUAAAUUCAUGGAAACUUGGUGAAUGGUUUUAUCAGCUUAUUAAGAUUGGAAUUGUUCAAUAUAUGAUAAUAAAGACAGUCUCUGCCAUUUUAGCAGUAGUUCUUGAAGCUUUCAAUGUAUAUUGUGAAGGAGAGUUCAAAUUGAGCUGCGGGUACCCUUACAUGGCUGUGGUUCUUAAUUUCAGCCAAUCAUGGGCAUUGUAUUGUUUAAUUCAAUUCUACGCUGCAACAAAGGAUGAACUGGCUCAUAUAAAACCAUUAGCCAAAUUUUUGGUAUUCAAGUCCAUUGUUUUUUUGACUUGGUGGCAAGGUGUGGCAAUUGCACUUCUUUAUAGCUGGGGCUUGCUCAAAAGCCCUAUUGCUCAGGGAUUACAAUUAAAGUCAAGCAUUCAGGACUUCAUUAUUUGUAUAGAGCGCAGAUGGGUGUUGCCUCUAUUGUUCAUCUCUAUGUUUUCCCUUCUAAGCCAUAUGAACUAAUGGGUGAACGCUUUCCGGGAAGCAUCUCAGUUCUUGGAGACUAUGCAUCUUUGGAUUGCCCUUUGGACCCUGAUGAGGUUUGGGACAGUGAACGGCCUACAAAGCUUAGACUUCCUCAGCCUGAUGUUGAUAUCAAAAGUGGAACAGGUAUCAAAGAAAGCAUGCGAGAUGUUGUCAUUGGAGGAGGAGAAUAUAUUGUCAAUGAUUUGAAGUUCACAGUCACACAUGCGGUGGAGCCCAUGGAGAAGGGCCUAACAAAAUUCAAUGAGAAGCUUCACAAGAUAUCUCAAAACAUAAAAAAGCAUGAAAAGGAGAGAAAGAGAGUCAAAGACGAUAGUUGUAUCAGUUCGUCAUCACCAACAAGGAGGGUAAUUCGUGGAAUAGAUGAUCCACUGUUGAAUGGAAGUGUUAGUGAUACUGGGGCUUUCAGAGGAAGAAGACACCGUAGGAAAUCAGGUUAUACCAGUGCAGAAAGUGGGGGAGAAAGUAGUGAUCAUAGUCAUGGUGGUUAUGAAAUUCAGGGGCGUAGGUGGGUAACAAAGGAUUGAAGCCAUAGAAGUAAAUCCACUCCUCACAGUAGACAAGAUGCAUGCUGGUCUGAGCAUAUGGAGCAUCAACAUCAGUGGUUGCAGAGAGAAUCUAAUCACAUUCUCUAUCACAAGCCUGCAAGUGAAGGUUCUUGGUCUUUUCUUUGCACCAGCAUUAGGCAAAUUUGUAUAUGCCUAGCAGGAAGAUUGUAUACAUACCUAGCUUCAUCGGAGCUCCCUGGGUGGAGCAAAAAGAAAUGGCCGAAAUGGCCGCAGCUCCAUCAAUGCUCUGGUGCAGAUUGCAUUCCAAGAGAUCAAUUUCUUUGGGAGGGUUCUAUUGAUCAAAAAAUCCUCAUGUAAUGAUGAGACCCAGCAAGCUUGUGCAUCCAAUUGACACUUGUUGCAAGGGUAAUGGAUGUUAUAAAGCUUUAAUGGAUGUUGUAAAGCUUCAAUUUCACCAGCAGUUACAAGUAUUGGGCACCUGCUCUAAUGGUUGUUGUAAAGCUUCAAUUUCCACCAGCAGUUACAAGUAUUGGGCGCCUGCUCUUUUGGGUUGUUUUAAUGACAUCCAGAAUUAUUUCCUAAAAAUGUAGCACCAUGAAUAUAUUGAAUUUGAAUACGCUACCAGGUUGUUACUUACCAUCAAGUGUCCUUCCCAAUUAAUACAGAACCCUUGUGUACCAUGAAAAUGGUAAGAUUGACUA